Long non-coding RNA from Acanthopagrus latus (yellowfin seabream), 562 nucleotides. RefSeq lists it as uncharacterized. The record is from RefSeq and is a predicted model, not a curated record. The transcript has 3 exons. NCBI's taxonomy places the organism in Eukaryota, Metazoa, Chordata, Actinopteri, Spariformes, Sparidae.
UCAGGGUGUACUUGGUACUUGUUUAAAAAUCCACAGUCUGUAGGCAUCUUCGGUUCUGCGGCUGUCACGUCAGAGAGCUGCUGGACACAUCAUGACAGGGAAAACACAACAGUGUGACGUUCACAUGAGGCUGUUCCCUUCAGCGCAGGAAAUAUUCUCAGUGUUCAGCGCCACGGGAGCAGAAUUACGGAUGUCCACAAAAAUUGGUUGGAGGUGGCCGGUAUCUAUGACCAUUUCAUGCCAUGUGGGGGAAAGGGCCCUGGGCUGCACCCUGCUGACUGCUCCACAACACAGGCCUGGCAGCAAGGCACCAAACAGCUGUAAGACUCACUCGCUGAUGUCACACAGUGUCAUUCAGAGUGCCAGCUGAAUCAUGCUCAGCAAGGAUUCCUGUAUCAACCCAAGUAUGUACUCUGUGACAAACCCUGGGCAAAAAUACACUAACUUGAAUUAUUUCAAGUGAAUACUGUGUGUCAAAAUGCAUGUUUUACUCAUUGUAUUCAAAAUAAAUUCUGACUAUUUUCCAAGACUAAUCCAUUAGAUGCUGCUAAAAUGCUUAAAA